This 23-nucleotide non-coding RNA is filed under the name Cricetulus griseus (Chinese hamster). Lineage: Eukaryota; Metazoa; Chordata; Mammalia; Rodentia; Cricetidae. The record is from RNAcentral.
UAAGAAUAAACUUUUACUGUGGA